AGAACAGCGCACGGAAACGCCGUUUACCUUCCCGCCGGAACGGGACCUAUUUAUCUACUUGCACUUUGACGUGCUUUCGAACUGCUAGGUGGGCAGGAGCAGGGACCGAGCAAGGGGAGCGCACCCCGUCACGGGGAUUCGAACGGCCGACCUUCUGAUCAGCAACUCCUAGGCUCUGUGGUUUAACCCACAGCGCCAGUAAUUCUAUCUGAGACCUAAAUCUUCCUGUUUCAGAAACAUUUUCUCUUUUUGUCCUCCAGGUAUUCUCACAAUUUCACUUCGGAGUGUCAAAACAAGGUCUCUGAGGGCAGCUGCCUCCAGGCGUGUUGACAAGCCGGGUCCCUGGGUGGGGCACCUUGUUUUCCCCCCCGGACGGAAGAACCUGGAGGGCGUCCAGGCCGGCUGUUCAGGAAUCUGCCGGGCAGCAGAAGAUGUCGGUCCACAAAUUUGCCCCAGGAAGCGGAGCCUGACUCAGCUCAGAUGCUUUCCCAAGAGGCACAUUCCGUUCCCAAAAGCACCCAGCCGUGCCAAGUCACCGUUUGCCAGGUGGGCACCCUCAGCCUCAUGAACAACUUGGCCACGAUCAGGAAAUUUGGCCCGUGGCGUGGGUAUUUUCCACCUUCCCAUCUCAACUCUCUGGCUCCCUAUCUGUACAAGCUAGCAAUUCUAAAAUAUAGACGCGCCUGGACUAAAAUUGUCUAUCAAAAACUCUUGUGGUUUGUCACUACAACAGCUACUCAAUUUGGGUUUUAGUAAAGCAAACAGUCCAGUUUGUCGGCGCCUAAAUGAUAUCGAGCGUCGGAACAACUGGGCCACUAUAAGGAAAUUUUGCCAUGGCACGACUAUUUUCCACCUUCCCAUUUUGACUCUCUGGCACCUGAUUUGCAUAACCGAGCAAUUCUAAAAUAUAGAUGCGCUUUGACUCUCGCGAGAUUGAAUGUCUUGCCCUCGGCUGGACUUGAGGGACGAUGCCAACAUAUGCCACACGAAAAACGACCCUGCGGAGAUGGCAGUCCCGAAUCGGUGGCGCAUGCCCUUCUGGCUUGCCCUCUUGAUAAAGACUUGAGGAAUGAGAUUAUCACCCCUCUUUUAUUGUCCAUUCCGGGUCGCCCAACCACUGCCCCAGUGACCUUUCUCUGGGCAGAUCAAGAUGAGCAGGUGACGGCAAAGGUGGCAAGGUUUUUAGCUGGGGCAAUCGGAAUAAGAUCCACUAUUUGACCAUUGAUUCAAAUCCCUAAAAUGUAUUUUAUAUCACUGACUUUUUAUUUCUAUUCUUUGUAUAUCUUAUUGAUGUUUUAUUGCUAUGGCUGGCGGCCGACGCAAAAAAAGAUUUAUUAAUUCAUUCAUUCACCCUGAGCCUCCCCAAAAAUCCCUUCUCCCGUCGCCCCGGCAAAAGAGCUUCCCUCUGCCAUGAGCGAAAAUAAAGCCCCUAUUAAUUAUUAGGAUUCGAGCUCCUCGCCUUAUGCCUUGGUUUCAAAAAUGGUUAAUAAUAAUAAUAAUUUUAUUAUUUAAACCCAGUCCUUUUUUCUGGGGGGGACGUAGGGGUACGCAUGCCCCUAAACAUGUUGUGAAUCUAAGUUGUUUGUUGUUUGUUUGUUGUUGUGGUUGUUGACCCUGCCCUGAAAAAAUCCCUGCCAGAGAGGAACGGCAAACUAAGUGGAUGGACUGCGCCGAAAUGGCAAAGGCUAUCCGGGAAACCCAGGAAUCGAGAGGACAAAAACUUUUUUAAAAAAAUAAUAAUAAUGGGAAAAAUACAUUUCCCCCAAAAAGCGGGACUUUCUGGGAUCGAAGCAGAAACCAGGGCGGCUUCUGGGAUUCCUGGGAAAUAGGGACACUGGGAGCGCCUGUUCCGCUUUAGAUGAGCAAGGAGGGCGAGAACUCGGAGGCAUAUAGAUAGCAAGCGCCGUUUUAUUUUUAACCGGGUGGUCUCGGAAAUAUUUCCCCUGGUGCUAUAAAUACCCGGAAAAACGCCCUGUUGUUGAUGAAACCCGAUCCAGAGAUGUCUCUGUCCGGACUCGAUGUGCUGACCUGGGUCUGGGAUCCGGGAUCGGGGCCAUCGGAAGUGACUAGGGUGCCUCUGAUAUUCUUACUUUACAUUAUUACAUUCAGUUACACAUUUGAACAUUCUCAGCACUCCGUUCCCAACGCUUAUCGCUUCCAACGCUAUAUAUGUAAACCUCUAUGUAUAUCGAUUUUCCUUACUCCCUUCGCCACUUUACGCAAUCACACAAUCUGCCAAUCAGUAGCUGAACUGGGUUCCACACAGUCACAGAAACAAGCGAAAAAGCCUCAAAAACCCACAAAAUAAAGCGCAAAAACAAAAGCACCAAGCUUUCUGGAAAUCCGUUUGACUUCUGAAAUGUUCGGAAACCGAGGCGCGGCUUCUGAUUGACGCAGGCGCCCCGGAAACAAUAGCCGACAGCUGCGUCGGACAUCCGGCUUCCAAAAAGCAUUAAAAAACCAGAACACUCUGUGGGGGUGCACUGGGUUUUCAGCCUUUGGGAACCAAGUCCCACUGUACUUAAAUAGGUAUUUCUGGACCUAAAAUUCCUAAUAAAAAAGCUUCAUUUUACAAAAGUUAUUUUUAGCAUUAUUUUUUUCAACUCGUUAUAAAUCAUUUCCCAAGAUGCUUUUGUUGUGUGUGUUUUUAACACCCUCUGAAGCUGAUCACCGGCCCGCCAACCCCUGACCCCAGCCUGCUCUCUGGACCAGAGAAAACCUCGCAUGUCCGAAAGCUCAGGCGCUCAAGGGAUGAUCUCCGCUUGGCAAAACGGGGGGCAAAAACACAAAUCUCUGCCGACCGGCAAAGUUCACUCAAAGAGAACUGGCUGCAAAUGGUGGACUUUAGCCGAAAAGUUCAGGGUUCGAUGUGACGCGAGACAGAGGAGAAUUUUCCCGUAAGGCGGGACCCCAUCUCUUCCUCUCUGUCCGCAAACACGUCAGAAAAGCCGCCUUGAAUAUUGAAUAUUUGCAGAACAAUUGCAAACAGGCAAAAAAACCAUUGGCAGGACUCUUUUUAAAAAAAUGCUGCAUUGGUUGAAAACUGUACAACAGAAAAAAAUCAUGUUAAAGGCAAGAUAAAAAUAAACCAUUAUUAAUUUCUU
Podarcis lilfordi (Lilford's wall lizard) is the source of this 3104-nucleotide non-coding RNA. Lineage: Eukaryota; Metazoa; Chordata; Lepidosauria; Squamata; Lacertidae. The record is from the annotation of a GenBank genome assembly.